Molecule: unclassified non-coding RNA, 455 nt
Filed under: Hevea brasiliensis (rubber tree)
Lineage: Eukaryota; Viridiplantae; Streptophyta; Magnoliopsida; Malpighiales; Euphorbiaceae
Source: RNAcentral
GGAAAAAUGACGAGUCCUGAUGAGCUGUAGGCUCUAACAAGUGAGAAAUCAUCUCCAUUCUCCAGCACUGAACUCAUUCAAACGAAAUUAGGGCCAUCCCUGCUCAAAUCCAAGGACCCUCUAGCCGAUGCCGGAAUUGAAGCGUAACGCGUCGAGAAAUCCCGGAGCCCGUACUCAUCCUCCUCUCCAUUAAUAGUACCUUCGUCGAAGUUUAACGCAUAACUGAGAGGAUCGUAGUGGAAUUUCCCCUGCGUACCAUUUUUGUUCCGAUUGAAACGCCGGAUAAAAGUUUUCCAUCUCGGUCCCGCUACAAUCUCCGACCAUUCUCGUAGCUUCAUUAAAGCGUUAAUCCCUUUAGCCCAAACAGAACCUUCUUUCACUUCUUCAGUCUGUUCCUUACGCCACCAUUUCAAGCCGCCGCCUGACGACAACGGAAAGCAAAAACAACAACGCCG